CCUACGGGUGGCUGCAGUGGGGAAUAUUGCACAAUGGGGGAAACCCUGAUGCAGCGACGCCGCGUGAGUGAAGAAGUAUCUCGGUACGUAAAGCUCUAUCAGCAGGGAAGAAAAUGACGGUACCUGACUAAGAAGCCCCGGCUAACUACGUGCCAGCAGCCGCGGUAAUACGUAGGGGGCAAGCGUUAUCCGGAUUUACUGGGUGUAAAGGGUGUGUAGGUGGCUUAUUAAGUUAGAGGUGAAAGCCCGAAGCUCAACUUCGGAACUGCCUUUAAAACUGGUUGGCUUGAGUGUGGGAGAGGUUAGUGGAACUCCUAGUGUAGCGGUGGAAUGCGUAGAUAUUAGGAAGAACAUCAGAGGCGAAGGCGACUAACUGGAACAUUACUGACACUGAAACACGAAAGCGUGGGGAGCAAACAGGAUUAGAUACCCCAGUAGUC
Molecule: ribosomal RNA, 440 nt
Filed under: uncultured bacterium
Lineage: Bacteria
Description: partial 16S ribosomal RNA
Rfam family: Bacterial small subunit ribosomal RNA
Source: RNAcentral